RNAcentral lists this ribosomal RNA (253 nucleotides) under uncultured bacterium. Its description in RNAcentral is "partial 16S ribosomal RNA". It matches the Rfam family "Bacterial small subunit ribosomal RNA", at positions 524 to 776 of the family's 1533-position model. The record is from RNAcentral.
UACAGAGGGUGCGAGCGUUGUCCGGAAUUACUGGGCGUAAAGCGCGCGUAGGCGGCUUUUCAAGUCGAUUGUGAAAUCCCCGGGCUUAACCUGGGAACUGCAGUCGAGACUGUCUAGCUAGAGUAUGGGAGAGGGAAGUGGAAUUUCAGGUGUAGCGGUGAAAUGCGUAGAUAUCUGAAGGAACAUCAGUGGCGAAAGCGACUUCCUGGACCAAUACUGACGCUCAUGUGCGAAAGCGUGGGGAGCAAACAGG